AUUGAACGCUGGCGCAUGCCUUACACAUGCAAGUCGAACGGUAACGCGGGGCAACCUGGCGACGAGUGGCGAACGGGUGAGUAAUAUAUCGGAACGUGCCCAAUAGUGGGGGAUAGCCCGGCGAAAGCCGGAUUAAUACCGCAUACGACCUGAGGGUGAAAGCGGGGGAUCGCAAGACCUCGCGCUAUUGGAGCGGCCGAUAUCAGAUUAGGUAGUUGGUGGGGUAAAGGCCUACCAAGCCUACGAUCUGUAGCUGGUCUGAGAGGACGACCAGCCACACUGGGACUGAGACACGGCCCAGACUCCUACGGGAGGCAGCAGUGGGGAAUUUUGGACAAUGGGCGCAAGCCUGAUCCAGCCAUGCCGCGUGCGGGAAGAAGGCCUUCGGGUUGUAAACCGCUUUUGUCAGGGAAGAGGCGCAAGUGACGGUACCUGCAGAAGAAGCACCGGCUAACUACGUG
This 461-nucleotide ribosomal RNA is filed under the name uncultured bacterium. RNAcentral's name for it is "bacterial SSU rRNA". It matches the Rfam family "Bacterial small subunit ribosomal RNA", at positions 29 to 507 of the family's 1533-position model. The record is from RNAcentral.